Aptenodytes forsteri (emperor penguin) is the source of this 994-nucleotide long non-coding RNA. RefSeq lists it as uncharacterized. The transcript has 6 exons. NCBI's taxonomy places the organism in Eukaryota, Metazoa, Chordata, Aves, Sphenisciformes, Spheniscidae. The record is from RefSeq and is a predicted model, not a curated record.
AGGUCCAGCACCGGCUGCACCCGGAUGAACUGCUUCAGCCGCGGCCUGAAGCAGGAGAUCAGUAUCGCAGUUACAGAUGCCUGGAAUGCCAAUGACAAUGGGACAGCUAGUGCCAGGAGCGGUACCAAAUAUGCCUCACGGUGAAUGGUCUGGAUGUUCUGCGUAUGCUGCCCCACAGGUUAUGAGAUGGUUCUGGCUUCUGUGGUGUCGACACGCACCUUCUCAAGAACAUAGAUCUGCAGAAGCAACGUAUUGGAAGAUCUCUAGUUACAGGAUGGAGAAGUAGAUGCCGAAACACUGCAGAGAUACCUAAUGCAGUCUGGAGUCAGGAACCUAUUAUUGUAAGAUACUGAGUUUUGCUGUGGCAGCCAGGCAGGUGCAGCUCGACGUUAAAGAGGGGUUACCACCACUGCCUUGCUUUCUGAGAUGCAAAGUUGAGAAGACUGGGCUUUUAUGCCUAAUCUAAUUCUGUCACCCUUCAGAAUUAAAUGAUGAUGUUAAGGAGGCUACUCCAAGACCAGUGGCUUUAUUCAUGUUAAGCUGACCACCAGCAGUAUGAGCAUUAGGAAUCGGAGCUUCCAUUAAACUUUCACAGUUUCUCAAAAGGAAAAUUAAGAUAAAGUCCUUGCAGUGCACCAUGGCAUUCUGAGUGCUGAACUGCUGGAGGAAAAGAGGAUCAACCUGUCAAAGUUCAUGUUUGGAAGAAUUGCUGUGAAUGGAAGCUAUUGUAGAGGUGUUUAACCUUCCUGCUUAAUGAGACAACGUGCUUUGAGUGAAUACUUCGAUUUUCAAGUGCACGAUUCGCAGCAAUAAAUAUCUUUUGCAUUUUACUAUAUUUAGAAGCAUGGCUUUUUUUAUCUGUACGUGUAUAAUUCCAGGCAAGUAAAUUUCUGUGUUAAGCUCAAGAGCUUAAUGAGAAGGAAAAGCUUAUGGUCAUAUGUAAUAGGCUGUGUCUUAUAAAUGGGUAGCUUGCUUACACAAAUAAAACAUCAGA